AGCAAGCCUUACUUUCGCAACUGCGUCGUUAAAAAAGCCCGCGCUUAGCGCGGGCUUUUCGUUGUUUGUUGCCGCUAUUGCGGCAGUAGAUCAGAACAGAUGCGAGAACAGCACAUAGAGGCCAGCGGACAGGCAGAUCGCCGCCGGCAGGGUCAGCACCCAGGCCAUCAGCAGGUUGCGGAUGGUCGCCAUCUGCAAUCCCGAUCCGUUGGCCGCCAUGGUUCCCGCGACACCGGACGACAACACGUGGGUUGUCGAGACAGGAAGGCCGAAAAUGUCGGCCGCGCCAAUCGUUCCCGCUGCAACGAGC
Molecule: unclassified non-coding RNA, 310 nt
Filed under: Hevea brasiliensis (rubber tree)
Lineage: Eukaryota; Viridiplantae; Streptophyta; Magnoliopsida; Malpighiales; Euphorbiaceae
Source: RNAcentral